This 277-nucleotide ribosomal RNA is filed under the name uncultured bacterium. Its description in RNAcentral is "partial 16S ribosomal RNA". It matches the Rfam family "Bacterial small subunit ribosomal RNA", at positions 336 to 629 of the family's 1533-position model. The record is from RNAcentral.
CUCCUACGGGAGGCAGCAGUGGGGAAUAUUGGGCAAUGGGCGCAAGCCUGACCCAGCAACGCCGCGUGGGUGAAGGAGUGCUUCGGCAUGUAAAGCCCUAUCGGCAGGGAAGAAGCAAGACGGUACCUGACUAAGAAGCCCCGGCUAACUACGUGCCAGCAGCCGCGGUAAUACGUAGGGGGCGAGCGUUAUCCGGAUUCACUGGGUGUAAAGGGAGCGUAGACGGCGAUGCAAGUCUGAAGUGAAAGGCGGGGGCCCAACCCCCGGACUGCUUUGG